RNAcentral lists this ribosomal RNA (516 nucleotides) under uncultured Bacillota bacterium. RNAcentral describes it as "bacterial SSU rRNA". It matches the Rfam family "Bacterial small subunit ribosomal RNA", at positions 355 to 861 of the family's 1533-position model. The record is from RNAcentral. Lineage: Bacteria; Bacillati; Bacillota.
UAGGGAAUCUUCCGCAAUGGACGAAAGUCUGACGGAGCGACGCCGCGUGAGCGAAGAAGGUCUUCGGAUCGUAAAGCUCUGUUGUUAGGGAAGAAGAAGUACCGUUCGAAUAGGGCGGUACGGUGACGGUACCUAACGAGAAAGCCCCGGCUAACUACGUGCCAGCAGCCGCGGUAAUACGUAGGGGGCGAGCGUUGUCCGGAAUUAUUGGGCGUAAAGCGCGCGCAGGCGGUCCCUUAAGUCUGAUGUGAAAGCCCACGGCUCAACCGUGGAGGGUCAUUGGAAACUGGGGGACUUGAGUGCAGAAGAGGAGAGCGGAAUUCCACGUGUAGCGGUGAAAUGCGUAGAGAUGUGGAGGAACACCAGUGGCGAAGGCGGCUCUCUGGUCUGUAACUGACGCUGAGGCGCGAAAGCGUGGGGAGCAAACAGGAUUAGAUACCCUGGUAGUCCACGCCGUAAACGAUGAGUGCUAAGUGUUAGAGGGGUUAAACCCUUUAGUGCUGUAGCUAACGCGUU